GACGAACGCUGGCGGCGUGCCUAAUACAUGCAAGUCGAACGAACCGCGACUAAGUGCUUGCACUAAGUCAAGGUGAGUGGCGAGCGGGUGAGUAACACGUGGGUAACCUACCUCAUAGUGGGGGAUAACAGUCGGAAACGACUGCUAAUACCGCAUAGGACAUAGGAUCACAUGAUCCAGUGAGGAAAGGUGGCGCAAGCUAUCGCUAAGAGAUGGACCCGCGGUGCAUUAGCUAGUUGGUAGGGUAAAGGCCUACCAAGGCGAUGAUGCAUAGCCGACCUGAGAGGGUGAUCGGCCACAUUGGGACUGAGACACGGCCCAAACUCCUACGGGAGGCAGCAGUAGGGAAUCUUCCGCAAUGGACGCAAGUCUGACGGAGCAACGCCGCGUGAGUGAAGAAGGUCUUCGGAUCGUAAAGCUCUGUUGUUAGAGAAGAACAGCGCAUAGAGUAACUGCUAUGCGUGUGACGGUAUCUAACCAGAAAGCCACGGCUAACUACGUG
Molecule: ribosomal RNA, 502 nt
Filed under: uncultured bacterium
Lineage: Bacteria
Description: partial 16S ribosomal RNA
Rfam family: Bacterial small subunit ribosomal RNA
Source: RNAcentral